AGCCGGGGCAACCUGGUGAGUAAAGUGGCGUACGGGUGAGUAACACGUGGGUGAUCUACCCUCUGGUGGGGAAUAACCCUGGGAAACCGGGGCUAAUACCGCAUAAGCCGUCUUCCGUCAAGGGAAGCCGGGAAAGUCGCAAGACGCCGGAGGAGGAGCCCGCGGCCGAUUAGCUAGUUGGUGAGGUAACGGCCCACCAAGGCUAUGAUCGGUAGCCGGCCUGAGAGGGCACACGGCCACACUGGCACUGAAACACGGGCCAGACUCCUACGGGAGGCAGCAGUGGGGAAUCUUGCACAAUGGGGGCAACCCUGAUGCAGCGACGCCGCGUGAGCGAUGAAGCCCUUCGGGGUGUAAAGCUCUUUCGGCAGGAACGAUAAUGACGGUACCUGCAAAAGAAGCUGCGGCUAACUACGUGCCAGCAGCCGCGGUAAUACGUAGGCAGCAAGCGUUGUUCGGAGUUACUGGGCGUAAAGAGUGUGUAGGCGGUCCUCUAAGUUCGGUGUGAAAUCUCCCGGCUCAACUGGGAGGGUGCGCCGGAAACUGGAGGGCUAGAGUAUGGGAGAGGAAAGCGGAAUUCCUGGUGUAGCGGUGAAAUGCGUAGAUAUCAGGAGGAACACCUGCGGUGUAGACGGCUUUCCGGACCAUGACUGACGCUGAGACACGAAAGCGUGGGUGGCAAACAGGAUUAGAUACCCUGGUAGUCCACGCCCUAAACGAUGCAUACUUGGUGUAGGCCGUUCAGUCGGUCUGUGCCGGAGCUAACGCGUUAAGUAUGCCGCCUGGGGAGUACGGUCGCAAGGCU
This 805-nucleotide ribosomal RNA is filed under the name uncultured bacterium. RNAcentral's name for it is "bacterial SSU rRNA". It matches the Rfam family "Bacterial small subunit ribosomal RNA", at positions 72 to 895 of the family's 1533-position model. The record is from RNAcentral.